ACCCGACCGACAGACAGACCGACCGACCGCCUGCCCGGCCGGCCGCCUUCCAGCGCGGGCAGCACCGCCCGCAGCGCCACGGCCGCCGCCCUCAGCCCGCCCCGCCGCAGGGAAACUGAGGCAGCAACAGCCGGUUCCCCAGUGAAAGUGCAGCCAGUGGAACAGAGCCCAUGCAGUGCCUUGUAUAAUUCUGUUGGAGAGAGUCCAGAAGAGGCCACGAAAUUGAUAAGAGCACUGGGGCACCUCCCCUAGAGAGACAGGCUGGGAAAAUUGGGUGUUCAUCCUGCAGAAGGUUGUGUGGAAACCUCAAAACACCUUUCAGAAUCUGAAGAGACCUGCAAGGAAGCUGGAGAGGAGCUCUCUGUGAGGGAAUGGAGUGACAGGACAGGGGGGAAUGGGUACAAACUGGAAAAGGGGAAAUUUAGGUUAGAUAUUGAGAAAUUUUUCACUUUGAGCAUGGUGAGGCCUUGGCACAGGGUGCCCAGAGCAGCUGUGGCUGCCCCUGGAUCCCUGGCAGUACCCAAGGCCAGGUUGGACAUUGGGGUUGGAGCAGCCUGGGGCAGUGGGAGGUGUCCCUGCCAUGGCAGGGGGGUGGAAUGAGAUGAUCUUCCAACCCUUAAUGUUCUGUGAUUCUAUAAUUUUGUCAUUCUUACAAACACAUGAUUUGAGAAAAUUCUAAAUGCAAUCCUCCAAGAUUCUGUGAUUCAAAAAGACAUAAUCUGGUUGUAUUUCAUGAUUGAGUCUGAUUGACUUGAUGUUUUUAAAGUUUAUGGUUGCUUUAUAUUCCUGUAAAUCAGAUUUUUCUUGAUCCUAAUAAUAUCUAGGGAAAGAAUUCAUUCUCUAGAAUGAUUGGGGGUUUAAGUUGUCUCUAAGUAGGUUAAUUUUGUCAAAUGUACCAUUCCCAAUUAUUUGAAUGUAUUCUGGUUCUUCAAGAUUAGCUUGUUUAUGAAUGUAUUUUCCAACAUUUCUAAUUUUAGAUGCUUUGAUGGGGGGCUUAGUUUGAUAUAUUUUUCAUCUUUAUGUAUGGUUGCAGCUGUUAUUACCAGGUGCAUGUUUGUUAAGUAUAAGGUUUGUUCUCCAUUUGGAGUAUCCAAUAACUGCUCAGAUUAACUUUGGAUCAUACUUGCCAACAAGCUUUAUCACUGGAAUUUUGUUAAAAACUGAGCCCCUGCAAAAUGUAGAAUGUAAAGAAACUUCAGAGAAAAUAAAGGAUGAUUAUACAUGGACAUUGUGAGCAAAUAAACAUGUAAAAGCUGAAACACUUGCACUGGUUGAAAGUAUGAGAAUUACUGGUUUUCAUUGUGUAAAUAUUGCACUGAAAGGCAAAAUUGUGUACUCUGAAUAGUUCAGUGUUUUUGACACUAACAUUUUCAAUAUAAAAAUAGUUGAAAUGAA
Molecule: non-coding RNA, 1395 nt
Organism: Agelaius phoeniceus (red-winged blackbird)
Lineage: Eukaryota; Metazoa; Chordata; Aves; Passeriformes; Icteridae
Source: RefSeq, a predicted model, not a curated record